UACGGAGGGUGCAAGCGUUAUCCGGAUUCACUGGGUUUAAAGGGUGCGUAGGUGGGCAGGUAAGUCAGUGGUGAAAUCUCUGGGCUUAACCCAGAAACUGCCGUUGAUACUAUCUGUCUUGAAUAUAGUGGAGGUGAGCGGAAUAUGUCAUGUAGCGGUGAAAUGCUUAGAUAUGACAUAGAACACCAAUUGCGAAGGCAGCUCACUACACGAAUAUUGACACUGAGGCACGAAAGCGUGGGGAUCAAACAGG
This 253-nucleotide ribosomal RNA is filed under the name uncultured bacterium. RNAcentral's name for it is "partial 16S ribosomal RNA". It matches the Rfam family "Bacterial small subunit ribosomal RNA", at positions 524 to 776 of the family's 1533-position model. The record is from RNAcentral.